This is a long non-coding RNA of Zonotrichia leucophrys gambelii, 1329 nucleotides long. RefSeq lists it as uncharacterized. NCBI's taxonomy places the organism in Eukaryota, Metazoa, Chordata, Aves, Passeriformes, Passerellidae. The record is from RefSeq and is a predicted model, not a curated record. The transcript has 2 exons.
CGGAGGAGGAAGAGGAGGAGCAGGAGCAAGACCAGGAGGAGCAAGAAGUAAGAGGGGGGAUGAAAACGGAGGAGAAGGAGGAAGCUCGGGGGCCCACCGCUCACUGUACCGCCCCCGGGAGCAUCGUCUCCUUCCCCGCAGCGUUCUGCAGGCAUGGGGCUGUGGACGGAGACCAGAGAGAGCAGAUCCCUGUGGCAGUACCUUAAGAAAAAGGCCAUUUGUAGUGGCUCCACAGCACACUUAGUCAACAGGGAGGAAAAGCCAUGGAGAUCCCCCACAAGGAGGGCCUGCAAACCCAGCCUGUGGUGUUCUGAGGAGGAAAGACCCACCCUGAGUUGGGAAGGCAGCUGACCUGGUGGUUGACCAGAUGCUUCAUGAUGGGGACAAAUCCUACAAGGGCUUCUUGGAAUGUGGGAAGAGCUUCAGCAACAGCUCCAACUUCUUCAUCCACUAUUGGGUGCACGUGGCCCUAUGAGUGUGAGGAAUUGAGUGGGAAGAGCUUCACUCAGAGCUCCAGCCUGGGCUGCCCCAAGAAGAUCCACACAGGGAACAGCCCUGGAAGUGUUUGGAAUGUGGGAAGAGCUUUAUCCAGAGCUUCAGCCUGAUGUGUCAACAGAAGAUCCACACUGAGGAAUGGCCCUACUCCCCCCGUACUUGCAAUGCAGAAAGAGAUUCAGCCUCCUCUUCAUCUGAUCUACCAGCAGUGUCCAUGCCAGGGAACGGCCCUACAUAUGCUUGGAAUGCAGGGAGAGCUUCAGGUGAGGCACCUGCCUGGUCUGCCACCAGAGCAGCCACACUGGGGAGCAGCCCUACAUGUGCAGGGAGUGUGUAAAGAGCUUUAGUGACUGCUCCAACCUGACCUGCCACCCGAACAUCCACACCAGGAGGAGGCUCUGUGAGUGUCCCCAGGGUGGGAGGAGCUGCUGCAGCUCUGCCUUGACCCAACACCAAGAGUCCCCCAGGUAAGGGAAGCCCUGUGAGCGCCCUGCCUGCAGGGAGAGCUUUGUUCACUGCUCCAAGUUCACCCAUUAGAGAACCCACAUUGUGUUAUCUACGGUGACCAUGGUGGGACUUGAAUCAACCUGGUGAGUCAAGCUGGUCACAGACAUGGUAAUCGAGCACUGGCAGAGACCAAGAUUUUGGAGACAAUUUUGUGGGAACCCCUCCAAAAAAAGCUCUUUCACCCACCCAACCCAAUCUGACCCAACCCAAACCCACGGAUACUCAAACAAUGCUGACAUGUAAAUUCUUUAAUUUUGGCCUUGAUUUUCUUGUGAUCUAUCCUUUAAAAACACCCAAAAUUGGGUAAAAAUAAAGAACCUUGUCAGA